UUUGGGUGGAUGAGUGGCGAACGGGUGAGUAACACGUGAGUAACCUGCCCCUUCUUUGGGAUAACGCCCGGAAACGGGUGCUAAUACUGGAUAUUCACUUGCCUUCGCAUGGGGGUUGGUGGAAAGGGUUUUUCUGGUGGGGGAUGGGCUCGCGGCCUAUCAGCUUGUUGGUGGGGUGAUGGCCUACCAAGGCUUUGACGGGUAGCCGGCCUGAGAGGGUGACCGGUCACAUUGGGACUGAGAUACGGCCCAG
RNAcentral lists this ribosomal RNA (253 nucleotides) under uncultured bacterium. RNAcentral describes it as "partial 16S ribosomal RNA". It matches the Rfam family "Bacterial small subunit ribosomal RNA", at positions 82 to 334 of the family's 1533-position model. The record is from RNAcentral.